RNAcentral lists this ribosomal RNA (500 nucleotides) under uncultured bacterium. RNAcentral describes it as "partial 16S ribosomal RNA". It matches the Rfam family "Bacterial small subunit ribosomal RNA", at positions 30 to 523 of the family's 1533-position model. The record is from RNAcentral.
AUUGAACGCUGGCGGCAUGCCUUACACAUGCAAGUCGAACGGCAGCACGGGAGCAAUCCUGGUGGCGAGUGGCGAACGGGUGAGUAAAGUAUCGGAACGUGCCCAGUCGUGGGGGAUAACGUAGCGAAAGUUACGCUAAUACCGCAUACGAUCUACGGAUGAAAGCGGGGGAUCGCAAGACCUCGCGCGAUUGGAGCGGCCGAUAUAAGAUUGGGUAGUUGGUGGGGUAAAGGCUCACCAAGCCGACGAUCUGUAGCUGGUCUGAGAGGACGACCAGCAACACUGGGACUGAGACACGGCCCAGACUCCUACGGGAGGCAGCAGUGGGGAAUGUUGGACAAUGGGCGAAAGCCUGAUCCAGCCAUGCCGCGUGCAGGAUGAAGGCCUUGGGUUUGUAAACUGCUUUUGUACGGAGCGAAAAGGUUUGGGCUAAUAGUUUGAGCUCAUGACGGUACCGUAAGAAUAAGCACCGGCUAACUACGUGCCAGCCGCCGCCGUAA